Molecule: long non-coding RNA, 9644 nt
Organism: Rattus norvegicus (Norway rat)
Lineage: Eukaryota; Metazoa; Chordata; Mammalia; Rodentia; Muridae
Source: RefSeq, a predicted model, not a curated record
GUUUCCAGAGAGGAAACUGGAAAAUGGGAUAACAUUUGAAAUGAAAAUAAAUAAAAUACCCAAUUUUUAAAAAAAUACAGGUUAUCCAUUACAACUCUCAGCUCUUGAGAGUUGCCCGUCACCCUGUUGAGCCCAAUCUUUUUUUUUUUUUAUUUUUCUGGCAAAUAUUAACUUUCCUUUCCUCUUUCCACAGCUUUGUCAGCUAUAUUUUGAAAAAGCGUAAGAAAGAAAAGAAAGGUCAUUACUGGAAUCCAGUUCUUCCUUGACAUUACAAAGGCCAUGAGAUUUCAGAGUUCAGAAUAGUAGGGAGCUCAGGAUAAGAAGACAAAGAUAGACUUCUCAUUUCUCACCACAGACUAACAAACCACAACAGAUGCAUAUGGAAGAGUUAGAAUCUCCAGACACUUGGUAAAGUACACUAAGGCAGGAAGAUGGAUACAGUGUGACAUUAUGUCUCAAAACGUAGGGUCCUAACUGUGUCUGAUUUGUCUGAUUUGAAAGACUUGUGAGAUAACAUCCCAUCCUUACCUGAGUUCCUGCAUUAGUUCUUCCUAUACUGGCUGUUUGCUAAAUACCUCAUAUUUGUGUAUAUUUGGGGACAAUUAACUUUGUUUUAGCUACUUAAGAAAUUUUUCUUAACUUUCUACUACCUUAAUGUCCUAAGAGAUUACAAAUACCUCUAUAGAAUGUAUGUUGGCUGUGGAAGGUUAGUAAAACUAAAAAUGCAACUUUUGAAUUGGUUUACUACUGGACCAGGAGUAAAUUCACACAAUGGAUAUAUAAAAUAAAUAUUCAAAACUGGUCCAUAACAUUAUUUUCUUUCCAGCCAUUCUGAUACUUUUUUAUCAGUUUACUUUAAUUUGUUUAAGAAAAGGAAAUGAAAGAAGCAUAUAAGCAACUGGUAUAAUGUCAUUACACUGUGGGAAAUAUCUCAACUAUACAAAGCGCCAUAUACUAGCAUGUAUACUAUUCCUUCUACACAUUGGCUCCAUAUUGUUUUGUCUUAAUACCUAAAUCAUCACCAGGCCUUUGAUCCAUCAUAUUCUGGUCUAUAAGAAGGGCUUAACUGAGUAUCUAAGAUGGAGAGAGUGGAAUAAGAAGAAGGAAGAGCAGAAGAGGAAAGGAGGAAAGGGAAGGAUGGAGGGAAGGAAAAUAUGAGGAGAUAGAGAAGAGAGAGAAAUGGGAGAGAGAAAAUGGGAGAAAAUGGGGACAUCUCAUCCAGUCAUACCAGUACUUGCAGAAGUUUUCCUAGCAACCUGCAGAGCUCUCACUAGGAUCCAGAACAUUGUUUCUCAGCCUGACUAAUGCUGUCACACUUUUUAUUCUUUUAUUAGGUAUUUUUCAAUUUAUAUUCCAAAUGUUAUCCCCUUCCCCAGUUUUCCCUCCAGAGACCUGCUAUCCCAUCCCCAGUCCCUCUGCUUCUAUGGGGUGCUCCCCCACAAACCCACCCACUCCCUCCUGACACCCUGCCCUGACAGUCCCCUACACUGGGGCAUUGAGCCUUGAUAGGACCAAAGGCCUCUCCUCCCAUUGAUGCCUGACAAGGCCAUCCUCUACUAUAUAUGCAGCUGGAGCCAUGGGUUCAUGUAUGUGUACACUUUGGAAGAUGGUUUAGUCCUUAGGAGCUCUGGGGGAUCUGGUUGGUAUUGUUGUUCUUAUGGGGUUGCAAUCCCCUUCAGCUCCUUCAGUCCUUUCUCUAACUCCUUCAUUGGGGACCCUAUUCUCAGUUCAGUGGUUGGCUAGGAGCAUCCACCUCUGUAUUUGACAGGCUCUGGCAGGACCUUUCAGGAGACAGCUAGAUCAGGUUCUUGUCAGCAUGUACUCCUUGGCAUGUGCAAUAUUGUCUGAAUUUGGUGGCUGUAUGUUUAUGGGAUGGAUCCCCAGGUUGGGCAGUCUCUGGAUAGCCUUUCCUUCAGUCUGUGCUCCAAACUUUGUCUCUGUAUUUCCUCCUGUGAGUAUUUUUGUUCCUUCUUCUAAGAAGGACUGAAGCAUCUGUACUUUGGUCAUCCUUCUUCUUGAGCUUCAUGUGGUCUAUGGAUUGUAUCUUGUGUAAUUCGAGCUUUUGGGCUAAUAUCCAUCUGUCAGCGAGUGCAUACCAUGUGUUCUUUUGUGAUUGGGUUCCUUCACUCAGAAGAUAUUUUCUUGUUCCAUUCAUUUGCCUAAGAAUUUCAUGUAGUCAUUGUAUUUAAUAGAGGAGUAGUACUCCAAUGUGUAAAUGUACCACACUUUCUGUAUCCAUUCCUCUGUGUAGUGAACUCCAGCCAUAAAGUUAUAUUGUUGAUACUUAUAACUGUGAUGUUUCUAUUGUUAUGAAUCAUAACUGUAAAAAUCCGAAAUGCAGGAUAUCUGAUAUGUGACACCUAAAGAAGCUAUACCUCACAGUUGAGAACCACUGUUCUAAUAUCUUACAAUAACACCAAGCUGAAAAUCGAGAUGAUGAUGAUCAUCAUCAUCAUCAUUAUUUUUUUUUCUUUUUUUAGGAGCUGGGGACCGAACCCAGGGCCUUGCGCUUGGUAGGCAAGCGCUCUACCACUGAGCUAAAUCCCCAACCCCCAUUAUUAUUAUUUAAUCUUUUUUUUCAGUUCUUUUCUGCCCCACAACUGUUCCUCAUCCUAUUCCUCCUCCCACUCCCUGGGGACUCAAGUCUCUCGAGGGUUAGGUGAAUCUUCUUUCCCUGAGGUCAGGCUUUAAAUGUUGAGAUUGGCACAAUCAAGAUAUACAUUCUAGCAAAUGCUUAAUUCAGUGGACUUCUGCUUUGAUUGUACCCAUAGAUCCCUUAGCGUUCUUACUGUCAGAUUCUUUAGUCUUAAUAGUUCAUUUAUUUUAGCCCCUCUGAAUGAUAUAAAAAUUAUAAGUUAUUUAAUCAACUCUAUAAGUGCCACACAUUUAUAUUAAUUUAAAUUAUUUAUCAAUUACUUCAUGACCUCUUGUAAGCAAAAGAAAGGCAAGAGAUUAUAAGGGGAAAAAUUUCAUGCAUGGACCCAAACGUAUACUUGUCCCUGACAGAAAUUAUAUUGCUGCCAUGCAUAGAUCAUAAGAACUAAUUUAUUUUAUAUAAAAUGCCAGUGGCUAUAUAUAGCCUUAAAAUUCCUUCCUGAUAAUAUGAAUUGUAAAUGCCUCAACAUCAGGCGUUCAGAACAGAAAGUGUGGCAGCUCCAGACCUGCUCUACAUAACCGUAAGGUAUGUGUUUCUAAAGUGUCAUAGCCACUCACAGAAUGUUAAAAAUUGAUGCUGAACAAAUGCUUGUAAAUGGAUAAGAAAGUAAAUAGGUAUGUUUGCUGUUACAAAAACGUAAAGCAUUUUGGGAAAUUCUGAAUAGAAUCAAACUCAGAAGAAUAAAACUGCUUGGUUAAAAUGCUCUUUCCAUGCAGACACUGAGCUUUUGGCAUAACUUCUUCAUAUUUUUCCUAAUUCACUGCUCACUUUCCAUCUGGUACAACUUCCAUUUUACUCUCUGGUUCUAACAUGUUCAUCUUUAUUUUAUUUUUUAAGAUAUUCCAUUUGUGAGUGAAAUCAUGCAGGGUUGAUUUUAUGUUGGUAGCUUAGUUCACAUAGGAAUCUUUAACCCAGAAAAUCAGGUAAAAAUUUGUAUAAUAUAACUGACCGUUCCAGUAUCAAGAAGAUCCACUGACUGCCACAAACAUAGUAUGCCUACCUUGCUUCAUUUUAAGUCCAGGAAAUAAUGUUGUUAGCACAUAAAAACAUUUUAGUAAAAUAACAACCCAUGUUGAUGGCAUUGUUUAUGCCAGGCUGAUCACCGCAAACCUUACCUUUUACCUCAGGUUUCUAUAGGGAUUCCCCUCUCCUCAUUGGAACUCUCUGUUCAAGUUACUGUACCCAAGCAUUCGACAUGACUGUAACCAGACAGCUUUCCUCAUAUUUUGUCUCUUUCAUCUUUUUAUCAUUGGAUGCUGUUGUUUUCAUUCACAAUGAUAAAGUAGGUUCAUUACUCUAAGUUUUCAGUUAUCUAUAAUCAUACACAUGCAUGUACUUCGGGAAAUGAGGAAAAAUAAUGAAUUUCUAUAUAUUUAUUGACAGCUAUAUGCAUCUAUUUCUACAAGCAUAGUACACCUAUCGUGGUACAUUUUAAGUCCAGGAAAUACGAUUGUUAAAGACAGAGUUUAAUUUAAUAAUUUUUUUUACUAUUUUUAUACCUCUCUACCAUCUAUAUGGUAUCUAUCCAUCAUUUAUCUAUUAUUUAUCUUAAUCUAACUACUUGUCAUUUACCUGUCUAUCCAUCAUAUAUUUAUGCAUCCUCUAUUUAUACAUCAAUCCAUCCAUUGACUUCCACUUGUGAAAAUGAUUUUUCAUUGUCAAAUAAUAUGAACUAAGUGAAUUUCCAUAUCAAAGAAUUCUGCAUAUUAAGUGAAUAAAAAGCUCAGAAUACUCAAAAUACAACCCACAAACCAUAUGUAGCUUAAGAGGAAGAAAGACCAAAAUUUAGAUGCUUCAGUCCUAGAUAGAACAGGGAACAAAAUAAACAAAGGAGCUAGAGGGCUGGACCUGGGAGGGAGAGAGAUGCGAGAGGGGGAAAGAGGGGGGCAGGAACAAGAAAGAGUUAAAAAGGAACAGGAAAUUGAAUAUAAACAUGUAGGAGACGGGGAUAUAGAACUGGGGUAGCCACUAGAAAGUCACAUACUACAGUAAGAGACUCCCAGGAGCCAAUGGUGAUGACUAUAGCUAACAAAGGGGAGAAACAACAUUUAGAGACCACCUCCAGUAGAUAGGCACAGCCCCUAGUUGGGAAGGGGGCCACACACAUAUUUCAAAAAUGUAAAGCCAGAAUGUUCUUGUCCAAAGGAAAGACAAGGACAAAAACAAAACAAAACAAAACAAACAAACAAACAAAAAACCCCAAAAAACAAAAACCCAUACAACAUAAAAGCAGAGACUGAAGUAAAGCCAACCAGAGACAACUACAGCUAGAGAUCCAUCUGAAUACACGAAAUCCACAUACUAUUGCUGAUGCCAAGAAGUGCUUGCUGGCAGGAGCCUGAUAUUAUUGUUCUCUGAGAGGUUCUACCAGAACCUGAGCAAUAUGGAUGUGGAUACUUACAGACAGCCAUCAGAGUGAGUCUGGUGAUUCCAAUGGAAGAACUAGGAGAAGGACGGAAGGAGCUGAAGGGGGUUGCAACCUCAUAAGAAGAACAAUAUCAACUAACUGAACCACUCAGAGCUCUCAGGGAUCAAAUCACAAAGCAAAGAGUAUACAUGGAGGAAACCAGGACUCCAGAUACAUAUGUAGCAAAGGAUGACCUUUUCUAACAUCAAUGAGAGGCAAGGGAAGCUUGAUGCCCCAAAGUAGGGCAGUUAGGCGACAGUGGGGAACUGAUAGUAGGUAACUUUACCUCUUAGAGGUAAAGUAGAGACAGUAGGGUGGAAGGGAUGGGUGAGUUGAUUGAGGGUUAACUAAGAAGUGGGAUAUCAUUUAAAAAAUAAAGGAAAAAAUUAAAAUUAAAAGAACAAGAUCAACCAAAAUAUUAUGAAGAAUAAGAAGAACGAUAAUGUGGAAAAUUAUAUGGCAUAAUAAGAAAACUGAGAUUUAUGUUUAUGAAAAGGCUAUUAUUGUCAUUUAUAAUUUAUAAAAAUAACAAUAAGUUUAUUCAAGAAAAAAUUAUUUAAUAUUCCUGAAGCUUGCACAUCAUGAAUAUACGAACUUCACAACUCAUCUGGGCCCACUCUAUGAGUAAUAAAUGUGAUAGACAAGCCAACAUUUCUCGCACUUCUUGGUUGGUAGACAAAGACAGACUUUUCAUUUUGGAAAACAUGUUUUCAAAGGAUGCCUCCUAGUAGCACAGGUGGAGAGCUGCUGGCCUGGUCCUGUCUCCAUUCAGUAACACAGCAGGUGGCUGAAGAGACUCCAACACUUGAUUCUUUAAAAGUAGGUUUAGUGGAGUGGGUGAAGUAAUCAGGCCAUUGUACUCUCACAUUCACAGUGUAAGGAGCUAGAAAUAUCAUUGUUUCAGUAUGAAGGCAUGUUAAGGAAAGGUAUGAGCAUUCUCACAUAGGCCCAUCAGACUUCCUAACUAUGAUGUUUAUUUUCAUUAACCUUAGCCUAAUUUAUUUCAUUCUUGCUUUCAAAACAUCUUACACAGACACGGACUGAAAGAAAAAUAUUAAAAGACUUCAGUGUUACUUAGAAACCUAAUCCACCCAAUCAUACCAGAGGUUAGUAGUUAUUUAUUUUGUGAUAUUCUAUUUAUAGACUUUGAUAUCAGUGAGUUUUUAUUCAACAGUAGUCAUUUUUAUUUCUUAUUUUAAGGUGAUUCUAGACAGCCUGGUACUUUAGAAAACUUUUCAUACAGGAAUUAUAUUAAUCUUUUAAAAGAAGAUUAAGAGUCUACCAAGAAAGCUCUAUGGACAAAGUGAUUGUCAUGUAUGCAUGAAGACUAGUGUUCCGAUUUCAAGAACUCAUCAAAGCCAGAAAGGCAUGCUGGCUGCCUGUCAUUGUAGCACUAUGUAGGCUGAGUCAAACCAAAAGAGUACCUGGACUAAGCAGAAUUGACAAGUUUUUUCUUAGUGAGAGACUUGAUCUCAAUAAAUAAAAUGAAGAGAAAUCAGGGAAGACAACCAACACCAACUUAAAUCCUCACAUACAUUCUCAGGAAUGGGAUUCCUGGUCCUUAUGAUAGUUCUACUUAUACCUUAAGAACAUACUCUUUAUUUUCCAUAAUGGCUCUAAUUGUAUUUUCACCAUUGUUUGCUAAGCUAUCCGUCCCAAUUCUUCACUAAGACUUUCUCUUGUUGUCUGGUAAUAGCCAUCUCAGCAAGGUGUGGAUUUGCCUCACUUUAGUUUUGGCUCACAUGUCUUGAUGUCUCCGAAGGUUAAACAUUAUUUAUUAUCAUCUGUUUUAUGCUAGUAUGAUAUCUUUCUUUUAGAAAUCUCUUUUCAUGUACUUUGACCAUUUCUAAAGUUACCUUUUCUUGCUAUUGAAUUGAGUUCUCUGUGCAUUUUGUUACCUCCUUUUCAGAUUCAUGAUAUUUUAAUAUUUUGUUUCAUUUUAUAAGGUAUCUCUUGACUUUGUUGAUGGUUUCCUUUGCCAUAAGGGGAGUUUUUAAUUUUUUCCAAUUUGUAAAAGCAGUUUUCAUUAGGAGUAGCCAAUUUACAAAACUUGCUGCUCUCUAUAGACUUGGAGUUGAAAGCUGUUAACAUCAUGUUAUAUUAGUAGUUACGUUAUUGACAAGGAGGUCCAGUUUCCCUCCAGGCAAACACUAAUGUCAUGAGUUCACACUUCAGUACCCAUGGGAACAUUGUUGUAGAUAGAAGGAAAAACCAAGUUUUGAUUUAUCUGGGAAAAUUGAAAGCUCUGGAAAAGAGUCUAGUUUUUAAACAGUGACUCGCAAGGAAUAGGAAUCUACUGCAUCCAGACAAACAAACGGCAGAGAGAUUGAGAUAGGCAUAGACAUAGAGGGGGGGCAGAGACAGAGAGAGAAUACAUAUAUUUAAAAUCAUAUGCAUUGAUUUAUUUAUUAACUGAAGUUGAAAAAUAUAGGGCUAAAAGAAAAUAGAAAGAAACAUUUAAAUACCCUUUUGUCACAAUUAAUAAAUCAAAUAUAAAGGAAAUAAAUUAAAAGUAAAGUCUUCCCUUUUUAGCAGAAAACAAUCUGAAGAACCUAAGUUGUACUAAGCUUGCAAUUAUGGCAAAAGAAAAACACAUUCACUUUUUCCUUACAAAAUCUAUAUUAAAUGAAGAUGACUCAGUGAAUACUUUAUAGUAGUGCAGUUGUUAUUAAUACAGAUGCAACAAAGCCAACUACUUUAUUGAGGAAUCCUCACUGGUGUUUAUUGUAUUUUUUCACUGAAACCCAUCCUAUUUCAUGUACAUCAAAUUGAUAAUAUUCCAGUUGAAACAUAAUGAAUGUGCAGCAGUAAAUAUCCUACAGUCUAUACCUCAGCUGGGCCUUCUCCAGUAUAUCCUCAUAUUCAUAGUGACAUUUUAUGUUUCUCUUGUUUUUAAUUUCUGUGUGUGUGUGUGAGUGUAUGUGUGUGUGAGAUUUGGUAUAAUACUAUUGUCUGUCACAUCAGUAGUAAAUGCCUUAGAAUCCUCAUCAUUUCUAAGUUAUGAAUAUCCAUAAUUUCUGCCUUAAGAAAUGUCUUGAUUAUCAAGGUAUUCUAACCCAAGCAGUCUAGCUCUAGGUAUAAAUUACAGUAUUUUAACUUCUUCUCCUUUACUGAUUUUUAUCUUCUUUUUCAUGGUUGGUUGAUUUGUUUCAUCUUGUUGCUAGUUAUGUGUGGAAAAAUAAGAACCAUUUGGGAAAAAAUUCUGCUAACACCACGAAGGCAAACUGUUGAAAUUUAUUUAGGACACUUAUGCUUUUAUUUUAAUUUAUGUUAUAUCUGUGUUUAAACAUAUUUUAAAGACACAAUAUAAUUAAAAAGAAACAUUUUAUAUCAUUUCAACUUAAGAUACAAAUAUACAAAGAAUAGUGGAACCAGUAGAAAGCACAACAUAAUACUAUAAUAAGAAAAUAGCUCUUAGAUUGUUGUUGUUGUUGUUGUUGUCUUUGUUUUCUUUCAUGGCUUUGGCAAUAGUAGUGACAACUUACUGCUUUGAAGUGAUGAAGUUGCUAAGGAUGUAGAGCUUAUAUGACAGACAACAAUGCCUACAACAAAGCAAAGGAAAUGUAAAUCAGAAAUUAGGCACCAGAGAAGAGGAAUAACAGGUCAGAUCAAAUAAGAGGGCUACUUAAUUUUGUGUUGUAGAAAUGGAAUUAAAGUAAUGGUAAGUGCCAUGUGAAUUUAGGCAAGAAAACUAUAAAUUAUUGUUUUCUUAAUAAAGAUUUUUUUAUUUAUUGAAAAUUUCAUUCCCCUUACCCUCUGGAUUACUCCCUUGUCCCUGCCCCAUACCUGCCAGGAGAAUGAAUAGAAAUAUGCAGUAGUGUGGGGUAGGGGAUGGCAAGAACCACUAGAAAGUCCCAAACAGCAGGGAUGUGAGAGGCUCCUAGGACCCAAUGGGGAGAACAUUAACUGAAAUGCCCAACAGUGAGGAGAGGGAACCUGAAAAGACCACCUGCAGUAGAUAGAUGUGCACCUGGUUGAGGAAUUAGGCCACUCACCCAUCUCCAAAUUUUUGUUUCAGAAUCAUUUCUGUAAAAAGGAAAUUCAGGGACAAAACCCAAUGGACUAGAGACUGAAGCAAAGGUUCAGUAUAAAUUAAUUAGGGAAGGAAAUACAGCCUCCAUGAUACAAACAUGCUGUCUUCAGAAGAGCCUCCUCCUGCACAGCCAGUCAUAAUGAAGAUGAUUAGAGACCUCAGAAGACUCAGCCCUAACUGAAAUCAAAUCCUUCCUCUUAGAGCUCAGAGAACAUCAUGGAAGAGAAAGCAGAAAGAUAUAAGAGCCAGAGGGCAUGGAUGUCACCAAGAAAACAGGCCCUCUAAAUCAACAUGAGCAAAGGACAUAUGAACUCACGGAGACUUGAAACAGCAUGGACAAGGCUUACAUGGGUCUGCACCAUCCACUUUACUGCUUUAUAGGAUUCCUGAGGGAAUGGAGGACUAAGUCUUGGAUUUUCAUGCCUUUUUUUAGGUUCUAUUCUUUCUGAUGGUUUGUCCUUUUAACUUUUAGGUGAUACAUUUGGCUUUAUUGUUUUAUAUUUUAUUUUUAUACUUUAAAAGUGAAUGAAUAAAUGGUUCAUCGAAAA